CCUACGGGGGCAGCAGUGGGGAAUAUUGGACAAUGGGCGAAGGCCUGAUCCAGCAAUUCCGCGUGUGUGAAGAAGGCCUUCGGGUUGUAAAGCACUUUAGGUUGGGAAGAAAAGCUUCGGUGAAUAUCCGGAGUGUUGACGGUACCAACAGAAUAAGCACCGGCUAACUCUGUGCCAGCAGCCGCGGUAAUACAGAGGGUGCAAGCGUUAAUCGGAUUUACUGGGCGUAAAGCGUGCGCAGGUGGUUUCGUAAGUCGGAUGUGAAAGCCCCGGGCUCAACCUGGGAACUGCGUUCGAUACUGCGAGACUAGAGUUUGGUAGAGGGUGGCGGAAUUCCCGGUGUAGCGGUGAAAUGCGUAGAUAUCGGGAGGAACAUCAAUGGCGAAGGCAGCCACCUGGGCCUGAACUGACACUGAGGCACGAAAGCGUGGGUAGCAAACAGGAUUAGACUACCCGUGGUAGUCCACGCCGUAAGACGAUAGAGAACGUACGUACGUUACGGUUUACGGUUUUACGUAGUACGGUGUCGUAGUCGUACGUACGAGUAAGUUACGUCCGUCCGUCGGGAGGUACGGCCGCGAGGUUAGUAACGUACGAAGGAAGUAGACGGCGUGAGACGUACGCCGACGACGACGACGAGGGAGUAGG
RNAcentral lists this ribosomal RNA (648 nucleotides) under uncultured bacterium. RNAcentral describes it as "bacterial SSU rRNA". The stretch from base 1 to 564 matches the Rfam family "Bacterial small subunit ribosomal RNA", at positions 338 to 873 of the family's 1533-position model. The record is from RNAcentral.